This 468-nucleotide ribosomal RNA is filed under the name uncultured bacterium. RNAcentral describes it as "partial 16S ribosomal RNA". It matches the Rfam family "Bacterial small subunit ribosomal RNA", at positions 28 to 507 of the family's 1533-position model. The record is from RNAcentral.
GACGAACGCUGGCGGCGUGCUUAACACAUGCAAGUCGAACGGAAAGGCCCUGCUUUUGUGGGGUGCUCGAGUGGCGAACGGGUGAGUAACACGUGAGUAACCUGCCCUUGACUUUGGGAUAACUUCAGGAAACUGGGGCUAAUACCGGAUAGGAUCUCCUGCUGCAUGGUGGGGGUUGGAAAGUUUCGGCGGUUGGGGAUGGACUCGCGGCUUAUCAGCUUGUUGGUGGGGUAGGGGCUUACCAAGGCUUUGACGGGUAGCCGGCCUGAGAGGGUGACCGGCCACAUUGGGACUGAGAUACGGCCCAGACUCCUACGGGAGGCAGCGGUGGGGAAUAUUGCACAGUGGGCGGAAGCCAGAUGUGGCAACGCCGCGUGCGGGAUGACGGCCUUCGGGUUGUAAACCGCUUUCGCCUGUGACGAAGCGUGAGUGACGGUAAUGGGUAAAGAAGCACCGGCUAACUACGUG